RNAcentral lists this ribosomal RNA (745 nucleotides) under uncultured bacterium. RNAcentral's name for it is "bacterial SSU rRNA". It matches the Rfam family "Bacterial small subunit ribosomal RNA", at positions 9 to 744 of the family's 1533-position model. The record is from RNAcentral.
GAGUUUGAUCCUGGCUCANGAUGAACGCUAGCGGCAGGCUUAACACAUGCCNGUCGAGGGGUAACAGAGGAAAGCUUGCUUCCCUGCUGACGACCGGCGAACGGGUGCGUAACGCGUAUGCAACUUACCCCUAACAAAAGAAUAGCCCCGAGAAAUCGGGAUUAAUACUUUAUAAUAUCAAACUUUCGCAUGUUAGUUUGAUUAAAGCUUCGGCGGUUAGGGAUGGGCAUGCGUCUGAUUAGUUAGUUGGUGAGGUAACGGCUCACCAAGACAACGAUCAGUAGGGGGUCUGAGAGGAUGAUCCCCCACACUGGUACUGAGACACGGACCAGACUCCUACGGGAGGCAGCAGUGAGGAAUAUUGGUCAAUGGACGAAAGUCUGAACCAGCCAUGCCGCGUGCAGGAAGAAUGCCCUAUGGGUUGUAAACUGCUUUUAUGUAGGAAGAAACCCUCUGACGUGUCAGAGGCUGACGGUACUACACGAAUAAGCACCGGCUAACUCCGUGCCAGCAGCCGCGGUAAUACGGAGGGUGCAAGCGUUAUCCGGAUUUAUUGGGUUUAAAGGGUUCNCANGCGGAAAAUUAAGUCAGUGGUGAAAGCCUACAGCUCAACUGUAGAACUGCCAUUGAAACUGAUUUUCUUGAGUAUAGUUGAAGUGGGCGGAAUGUGUCAUGUAGCGGUGAAAUGCAUAGAUAUGACACAGAACACCGAUAGCGAAGGCAGCUCACUAAAACUAUUACUGAC